AAUAUGUGUGUUUUUCCUUGGGUCUUUCCUUUUCCUUUAUUACCUAAAGGCCUGCCAGAACCCUCUCUUCGUGAUUGAGGUGUGUUACUGAGAGAAGAGGAUAAUGAGAAUCUAGUGAUUUUAUCUCCACCCCAGCUGGACCGGUGGGACCUCAUGACCUACAUUCAUUUUCAGCUGUCAACCCAACAAUAUCACCUCCUCUGCCAGUUCUCC
This 213-nucleotide long non-coding RNA is filed under the name Sinocyclocheilus anshuiensis. RNAcentral's name for it is "lncRNA (ENSSANG00000018209.1)". Lineage: Eukaryota; Metazoa; Chordata; Actinopteri; Cypriniformes; Cyprinidae. The record is from RNAcentral.